GACGAACGCUGGCGGCGUGCCUAAUACAUGCAAGUCGAGCGGACCAAAGGGAACUUGCUCCUGGAGGUUAGCGGCGAACGGGUGAGUAACACGUGGGCAACCUGCCUGUAAGACUGGGAUAACAUCGAGAAAUCGGUGCUAAUACCGGAUAAUAAAAGAACUGCAUGGUUCUUUUUGAAAGAUGGUUUCGGCUAUCACUUACAGAUGGGCCGCGGCGCAUUAGCUAGUUGGUGAGGUAACGGCUCACCAAGGCGACGAUGCGUAGCCGACCUGAGAGGGUGAUCGGCCACACUGGGACUGAGACACGGCCCAGACUCCUACGGGAGGCAGCAGUAGGGAAUCUUCCGCAAUGGACGAAAGUCUGACGGAGCAACGCCGCGUGAGUGAUGAAGGUUUUCGGAUCGUAAAACUCUGUUGUUAGGGAAGAACAAGUGCCGUUCGAAAGGGCGGCACCUUGACGGUACCUAACGAGAAAGCCACGGCUAACUACGUGCCAGCAGCCGCGGU
This 507-nucleotide ribosomal RNA is filed under the name uncultured bacterium. Its description in RNAcentral is "bacterial SSU rRNA". It matches the Rfam family "Bacterial small subunit ribosomal RNA", at positions 28 to 521 of the family's 1533-position model. The record is from RNAcentral.